This 239-nucleotide long non-coding RNA is filed under the name Sorghum bicolor (sorghum). RNAcentral's name for it is "long non-coding RNA (SBIC_LNC014003)". The record is from RNAcentral. Lineage: Eukaryota; Viridiplantae; Streptophyta; Magnoliopsida; Poales; Poaceae.
UAGUUCGUUCUAAUACCAUGCUAAUGACUUUCUAGAGUAUCUAAUUGAGGUGCUUAUCAUAAUUAUUAUGUGGCUAGAUCAGAUUAAUUAUCUUUGUCACUAUUAUUAUUUCAUAUAUGUUUUAUGUGACACUUAUCCCUGUAUGAAAGAGAUAGAUAUAUGUUCUCAAUUAUACAUGCAAUGAUAGAUGCUCAAUCUCAUAUUCUAUUCUGUAAUCAAUAUUGAUGAUUGUUAAUCCC